RNAcentral lists this ribosomal RNA (492 nucleotides) under uncultured bacterium. Its description in RNAcentral is "partial 16S ribosomal RNA". It matches the Rfam family "Bacterial small subunit ribosomal RNA", at positions 29 to 507 of the family's 1533-position model. The record is from RNAcentral.
AGUGAACGCUGGCGGUAGGCCUAACACAUGCAAGUCGAACGGCAGCACAGUAAGAGCUUGCUCUUACGGGUGGCGAGUGGCGGACGGGUGAGGAAUACAUCGGAAUCUACUAUUUCGUGGGGGAUAACGUAGGGACACUUACGCUAAUACCGCAUACGAUCUACGGGUGAAAGCAGGGGAUCUUCGGACCUUGCGCGAUUGAAUGAGCCGAUGUCGGAUUAGCUAGUUGGCGGGGUAAAGGCCCACCAAGGCGACGAACCGUAGCUGGUCUGAGAGGAUGAUCAGGCACACUGGAACUGAGACACGGUCCAGACCCCGACGGGAGGCAGCAGUGGGGAAUAUUGGACAAUGGGCGCAAGCCUGAUCCAGCCAUACCGCGUGGGUGAAGAAGGCCUUCGGGUUGUUAAGCCCUUUUGUUUGGAAAGAAAAGCAGCAGGUUAAUACCCCGCUGUUCUGGCGGUACCCAAAGAAUAAGCACCGGCUAACUUCGUG